Molecule: ribosomal RNA, 498 nt
Filed under: Triticum aestivum (bread wheat)
Lineage: Eukaryota; Viridiplantae; Streptophyta; Magnoliopsida; Poales; Poaceae
Description: partial small subunit ribosomal RNA
Source: RNAcentral
AUGACGUCGAAGAAGGAUUGGCCGGUGCUGCUGGCUGGCAUCAAGUUCGAUCCCACGGAUCAGGAGCUGAUCAAGCACCUUGAGGCCAAAGUGAGUGCUGACAGCGCGAGAUCUCACCCUCUCAUCGAUUUGUUCAUACCAACCAUCGACAGCGAGCACGGCAUAUGCUACACCCAUCCUGAGAAACUUCCAGGUAUCACACUGAGUGGCCUAAGCAAGCAUUUCUUCCAGCGCAAUUCCAGGGCAUUCAAAAGGGGCACGUGGACGUGUCGCAAGAUACAGUCGGAGUGUGGCAUGCACGCGAUGUGGCACAACACCGGCAAUACCUUGCCGGUGAUGGUCAACGGCCGGCAGACGGGCAGCAAAAAGGUUCUGGUGCUGCACACCAAGAAGAACUUCGACCAGCAGAGGACCAACUGGGUGAUGCACCAGUACCACCUCGGGGACCUGGAACAAGAGAAGGAGUGGGGGCUGGUCCUCUGCAAGAUUUUCUACUAG